Molecule: ribosomal RNA, 406 nt
Filed under: uncultured bacterium
Lineage: Bacteria
Description: bacterial SSU rRNA
Rfam family: Bacterial small subunit ribosomal RNA
Source: RNAcentral
UUAUCCGGAUUUAUUGGGUUUAAAGGGAGCGUAGAUGGAUGUUUAAGUCAGUUGUGAAAGUUUGCGGCUCAACCGUAAAAUUGCAGUUGAUACUGGAUGUCUUGAGUGCAGUUGAGGCAGGCGGAAUUCGUGGUGUAGCGGUGAAAUGCUUAGAUAUCACGAAGAACUCCGAUUGCGAAGGCAGCCUGCUAAGCUGCAGCUGACAUUGAGGCUCGAAAGUGUGGGUAUCAAACAGGAUUAGAUACCCUGGUAGUCCACACGGUAAACGAUGAAUACUCGCUGUUUGCGAUAUACGGCAAGCGGCCAAGCGAAAGCGUUAAGUAUUCCACCUGGGGAGUACGCCGGCAACGGUGAAACUCAAAGGAAUUGACGGGGGCCCGCACAAGCGGAGGAACAUGUGGUUUAA